AGUCUCCUAUAGUAUCUAAACCUGCCUGUAGCUGGUAGAUUCGUUGCAGGUAAGGAAAAAGGUACAGUGAAAUGGAAAUAGCAUCCUAUUCUCUUGGAGGACUUGAUGCCAGAACUCAGGUAUACCUCAAGGAGAAGAGAGUCCCAUAAGUUGUGCUGCCCUAUUACUCCAACAUCCAUCCAUCCAUCCAUCCAUCCAUCCAUCCAUCCAUCCAUCCAUCCAUCUAUUCAUGAAUCUACCUACUAAUUUACACAGCCAAUAUGUAUUGAGCACCAGCUAUGUUCUGGGCAUGAUGAUAAGUUCUUGGAAUAUAGUUGUACGUAAGGCAUGUAGAUCUUUCUUUCAUGACCUUAAAGACUCUCAAGGAAGACAGAAGUUGAACAAAGAGCUGCAAAUGUAAUGGAUGCCAUAAAGGAGAAGUGCAGAUGGCAGGGAGUCAAUCCAUUUUGUAGAAGAGGGAGAGUUUCUCAGAGGAAGUGGUGUGUAAGUUGAGGUCUGCUGGUGAAUCACAGUUGCCCAGCCUGAUUUGCCCUCAAAGCUUCCCUUUAGUCACCUCAUUCUUCAGGUAAGUUAUAUUUUGAGGAAUUGAGAGUUGGAAUGUUCUAGAUGGUCUGAAGUUGCCCUCUAACGCUCAUCAGCUACUCUGCCUGGGGGAGCAGGGGAGCUGUCAAGAGGCCGCUUGAGCAAGAUGUGAUUUCCAUUCUAAAAUGCUCCGUGUGUAUCUCAUUAGUCAGAGACACUAUGGCUGGUGUAGUGUAAGAGAAAACAAGAGCAAAUAGUCAAAAUAAAACAGGAUUUGAAAUUAUUCCCAGAAUUCAAAUUUCUCUUAAAAGAGCCCCGACACUCCUUUCCCUUCUCUCCCCCUCCCCUGCACCUGGCUGGCUCCUCGCCCAGGUCUCAGCUCACCUAUCACUUCUUCCAGCAGCCUUCACCUUCCUUUGGGGUGGCACUGAGGAUUCCUUAGAGGACCCAAGUAGCAUCCUGGACUUACUACUGGGGCAAUGUGUCUCAACAGCAGCAGCUCACUGAAAUCACCUGGGAGCUUUUAAGAAAUGAUGGUUUCCAUGUCCUACCUCCAGAGAUUCCUAUUCCAAUGGUCUGGAAUAAGCCCUGGGCAUCACAAAUUUAAAAAAGCUUCCAACAUCUGCAUUCACUACUCCACUGCUACACUUCCCACCCCAUAUUGAAAAUUCCUUCUUGCUUGUCCAAAUUCUCCCUUGGACCAUAAAUUCCCUGAGUGUAGGGUUUGUAAGCUGCACUUGCCUUUGAUUCACAUAAGCUGGCAUAUGUGGAUGCCCAGUAAAUAUCUGUUGAAUGAAUGAUGGCUGAUGAAGAGUGACACAUUUCUCUCUCACUUCUCCAAUGCCUACCAGGAGCCUGCCAUCCAGAUUUUUCACAUUGAAAUCUUUGAGAUUUUUCUUGGAGUCUUCCCCUCCUUCGUUUGAUAGUUGAUCGCAUCUCUUGGCACCAUCUGGGCUUUCAGUUUAGCUUGGAUGACCCAAGGACUCCAGUCGAAUUUGCCUCUGGGGAAGCUGCCCUAGAUCACCUUCCAGAAUCCUGUUGUCCUCUAGGUUUCACCUUGUAGAGAAGCUGAUCAACUCAUUCACACAGAGCUGGCAGCGGUUGGCAGAGCCUUGACAGUAGGUUUUUCUCCAACUUGCUUGCUGCCCCAGGAAGAUGACCUGAAUAGAUUAGCUCAAAUGACUCUUACUGGGCUCAGCCAAUGGGAGCUCCAGUCAGCGGCAGGAGGAAUGAAAGUGAGAUCAAGAUUCCUGAUGUGGCCUUGGGGGCUCAGAGAUGGAUGAGACAUCGGCUUUACCCUUGAGGAUCAGAUUCUGAUGGAUAGGAUUGACACAGGAGCAGAUCUUUUUAAUAUAACAUAAUUGCUGCGAAGACAGGGCUGUUUUAGGGGCCACAGGAAGACCACUUGGUACUCACUGUGGGGUUCAGGGCAGUCUUUCUAGAGAACAGGUCAGCUGGGCCUGUACCUCCGAUUUGCAGAAAUUAUUACCAGAAGUGGACUGUUGCCUAUUCCUCUCUCUUGGAUUUGCUCCACAAGGAAGUGUGAUGACAAAGGAAUGAGUUAAAUGUUGGAGCCCUGGGCCACC
Microcebus murinus (gray mouse lemur) is the source of this 2108-nucleotide non-coding RNA. The record is from RefSeq and is a predicted model, not a curated record. NCBI's taxonomy places the organism in Eukaryota, Metazoa, Chordata, Mammalia, Primates, Cheirogaleidae.